CGAUUCCCUUAGUAGCGGCGAGCGAAAUGGGAAGAGCCCAAACCAACAAGCUUGCUUGUUGGGGUUGUAGGACACUCUAUACGGAGUUACAAAGGACGACAUUAGACGAAUCAUCUGGAAAGAUGAAUCAAAGAAGGUAAUAAUCCUGUAGUCGAAAAUGUUGUCUCUCUUGAGUGGAUCCUGAGUACGACGGAGCACGUGAAAUUCCGUCGGAAUCUGGGAGGACCAUCUCCUAAGGCUAAAUACUCUCUAGUGACCGAUAGUGAACCAGUACCGUGAGGGAAAGGUGAAAAGCACCCCGGAAGGGGAGUGAAAUAGAACCUGAAACCGUGUGCUUACAAGUAGUCAGAGCCCGUUAAUGGGUGAUGGCGUGCCUUUUGUAGAAUGAACCGGCGAGUUACGAUUUGAUGCAAGGUUAAGCAGUAAAUGUGGAGCCGUAGCGAAAGCGAGUCUGAAUAGGGCGUUUAGUAUUUGGUCGUAGACCCGAAACCAGGUGAUCUACCCUUGGUCAGGUUGAAGUUCAGGUAACACUGAAUGGAGGACCGAACCGACUUACGUUGAAAAGUGAGCGGAUGAACUGAGGGUAGCGGA
Molecule: ribosomal RNA, 591 nt
Filed under: Staphylococcus aureus
Lineage: Bacteria; Bacillati; Bacillota; Bacilli; Caryophanales; Staphylococcaceae
Description: partial 23S ribosomal RNA
Rfam family: Bacterial large subunit ribosomal RNA
Source: RNAcentral